AAACAGUUGAUAUUUUGUCACUGCUGAUCAAACAACGUGUGUUUUUUAAACGUAUUUUAAAGAUUUCGUGUUUUUUAAUAAAUGAAAAAUAUAUAUAAUUUCGUUAUUUUGUGCAAUUUAUAAUUAAGAGAAAAGAGGAUAAAUAAAUAAAAAUAAAAUAAAAAAUUGUUUCACAAAAGUGGAUACAAAAAGAAAAGUGAUUAAAAUUUGUACACGCAAAUUGGCGGAAGAAAAAAAUUAACAAAUAUAUUUAAAAAAAAGUCUAAAAAUUUAUUUCAAAUAAAGUGUCUGCGUUGCAACAUAAAAAAGUGUUCAACAGUAAAAAUAUAUUUUGUGAAUUAAAACACAGAAAAAAAAUCUAAAAAUAAAUUCAAUAAAAAGCAGUUGUUUCCAAUGUAGCCCUUUGGGUUUUUCUUAACACGAGCGUGAGUGCGAUAAGUUUCUAUGAACAGAGUUCGUGUUAAUUGUGAAAUUUCAUUUAAUUUAUAAUUUAUUAAAUGCUAUUUACAUUUUAUAUAAUUUCGUUCUACGUUCAUCUCGAGAAAGCAAUAUUGCCAUAAUUUGUAUUAAAAAAGAACAACAAAAAGUAAAUACUCUCCAAUUCAUUUUUUAAUUUUGUUGUGAGUCAGUCACGAGAUAUUGGAAUUUUUGGUAUUUCAAUGGGGUGACUUGUGAAAUUUAAUUUAACUCCUGAACCCGGGACUAAAAGGGAAUUUUAUACAAUAAAUCCGUUCCUGACAAAAGACAAACUUUUUUCUACACUUAAACACAAUAUUUUUGGCCUUGAAAACACCAAAAGAAAAACACCAUUUAAGUAAUUUUCCUACAUAACCCUAUAAGCAACUAAAUACAGGAAUUUUUACUACUCUAAAAGCUUUUCUACAACUAAACCCUCCAGAAACAAAGUACUUAUUAAUUUAUUGCAAAACUACACAAAACUCUCCCCCACCCCCUUAAUAAAUACACCACUAAAAGAAAAAGAGAACUAAAAAGGGAAGUUGAAAAAGUAAAACAUCAAUUCAAAAUUCCCUUAUAAAGACUUUCUCCGAUGACCAACAAGGUCGUUUUAAAAGAGAAAGUAGACACCCACUACUACUGCUGCUCGGGUCUGUACGUUAUAGUUGAGGACAAUACAAACGCUAAAAUCCUGUCUGCUCAGGGACACUCAUAUGCUGCCAGAGCUGAUUUGAACUACUAUUCGAAAUAACGUUAACAACAAAAAAAACAA
This 1228-nucleotide long non-coding RNA is filed under the name Lucilia cuprina (Australian sheep blowfly). RNAcentral describes it as "uncharacterized LOC124419966, transcript variant X1". The record is from RNAcentral. Lineage: Eukaryota; Metazoa; Arthropoda; Insecta; Diptera; Calliphoridae.